UCUCCUCUAGCAGAUGCCUGAUGGAGCAG
RNAcentral lists this non-coding RNA (29 nucleotides) under Rattus norvegicus (Norway rat). Lineage: Eukaryota; Metazoa; Chordata; Mammalia; Rodentia; Muridae. The record is from RNAcentral.